Molecule: ribosomal RNA, 559 nt
Filed under: uncultured Tomentella
Lineage: Eukaryota; Fungi; Basidiomycota; Agaricomycetes; Thelephorales; Thelephoraceae
Description: eukaryotic LSU rRNA
Rfam family: 5.8S ribosomal RNA (bases 181-335)
Source: RNAcentral
UGCUGGUCCCCCAAGCGGGGGGGCAUGUGCACGCUCUGUUUGCACAUCCACUCACACCUGUGCACCUUCUGUAGUUCUGUGGCCUGGGGGACUCGUCCUCCUGCUGUGGUUCUGCAUCUUUACACAUACACUGUAACAAAGUCUCAUGGGAUGUACACCGCGUUUAACGCAAUAUAAUACAACUUUCAGCAACGGAUCUCUUGGCUCUCGCAUCGAUGAAGAACGCAGCGAAAUGCGAUAAGUAAUGUGAAUUGCAGAAUUCAGUGAAUCAUCGAAUCUUUGAACGCACCUUGCGCCCUUUGGCUAUUCCGAAGGGCAUGCCUGUUUGAGUAUCAUGAACACCUCAACUCUCAUGGUUUGCCAUGAUGAGCUUGGACUUUGGGGGUCUUGCCGGCCUGCAGGUUGGCUCCUCUCAAUAAAUCAGCUUGCAGUGUUUGGUGGCAUCGCAGGUGUGAUAACUAUCUACGCUUGUGGUUCCCACCAGAUAGCCUUCAGCGAUGGAGGUCACUGAGCUACAAAUGUCUCUCUCAGCGAGACAGCUCUUUGAUGUUGAUCUCAA